AUUGAACGCUGGCGGAAUGCUUUACACAUGCAAGUCGAACGGCAGCACGGGGGCAACCCUGGUGGCGAGUGGCGAACGGGUGAGUAAUACAUCGGAACGUGCCCAGUCGUGGGGGAUAACGUAGCGAAAGCUACGCUAAUACCGCAUACGAUCUCUGGAUGAAAGCGGGGGACCGCAAGGCCUCGCGCGAUUGGAGCGGCCGAUGGCAGAUUAGGUAGUUGGUGGGGUAAAGGCUCACCAAGCCGACGAUCUGUAGCUGGUCUGAGAGGACGACCAGCCACACUGGGACUGAGACACGGCCCAGACUCCUACGGGAGGCAGCAGUGGGGAAUUUUGGACAAUGGGCGAAAGCCUGAUCCAGCCAUUCCGCGUGCAGGAUGAAGGCCCUCGGGUUGUAAACUGCUUUUGUACGGAACGAAAAAGCUCUUUCUAAUACAGAGAGUCCAUGACGGUACUGUAAGAAUAAGCACCGGCUAACUACGUG
RNAcentral lists this ribosomal RNA (484 nucleotides) under uncultured bacterium. Its description in RNAcentral is "bacterial SSU rRNA". It matches the Rfam family "Bacterial small subunit ribosomal RNA", at positions 30 to 507 of the family's 1533-position model. The record is from RNAcentral.